UAUUUCUUUGGUGGAAUGUUCUUUACUUUUCUAGAUUUGCCUUUAUUCUUCAUAGUUCCAUGAGUAACUACAAGGGAAAAAUUAUGUCCAUCUUGCUUUAAUCUCAUUUCCUCUUGAAUACACUUGCUAGUAAGCUCAUUCAUAUUUCGCUGUUCAUUAUUAGUGUUAUACUGAAUUUUGAAUAGAGCAAACUGCGAAUGAAGUGAGUUAGGACAAAUGGAACUAAGAAUGACUUAUCUAUCUUCAUGUCCAAUGCCUUAAGUUUUGCAGUCUUUU
This 276-nucleotide long non-coding RNA is filed under the name Carica papaya (papaya). RNAcentral's name for it is "long non-coding RNA (CPAP_LNC005359)". Lineage: Eukaryota; Viridiplantae; Streptophyta; Magnoliopsida; Brassicales; Caricaceae. The record is from RNAcentral.